AUUGAACACUGGCGGCAUGCUUUACACAUGCAAGUCGAACGGCAGCGCGGGCUUCGGCCUGGCGGCGAGUGGCGAACGGGUGAGUAAUACAUCGGAACGUGCCCAGUAGUGGGGGAUAGCUCGGCGAAAGCCGGAUUAAUACCGCAUACGACCUGAGGGUGAAAGCGGGGGAUCUUCGGACCUCGCGCUAUUGGAGCGGCCGAUGGCAGAUUAGCUAGUUGGUGGGGUAAAGGCCUACCAAGGCGACGAUCUGUAGCUGGUCUGAGAGGACGACCAGCCACACUGGGACUGAGACACGGCCCAGACUCCUACGGGAGGCAGCAGUGGGGAAUUUUGGACAAUGGGCGAAAGCCUGAUCCAGCAAUGCCGCGUGUGUGAUGAAGGCCUUCGGGUUGUAAAGCACUUUUGGCGGGAACGAAAAGGACUGUGCCAAUACCACGGUUCGAUGACGGUACCCGCAGAAUAAGCACCGGCUAACUACGUG
RNAcentral lists this ribosomal RNA (484 nucleotides) under uncultured bacterium. Its description in RNAcentral is "partial 16S ribosomal RNA". It matches the Rfam family "Bacterial small subunit ribosomal RNA", at positions 29 to 507 of the family's 1533-position model. The record is from RNAcentral.